This is a non-coding RNA of Podarcis lilfordi (Lilford's wall lizard), 143 nucleotides long. NCBI's taxonomy places the organism in Eukaryota, Metazoa, Chordata, Lepidosauria, Squamata, Lacertidae. The record is from the annotation of a GenBank genome assembly.
CGCCAUGCCUGGUAGUAGAAGAUCCUGAAGGAAUUUUCCUAAGUGGAGGCUCAUCCGUUGCACUCUGGGUGUGCUGACCCCUGCGAUUUCCCUAAAUGUAAACCUGACUGUGUAAUCUGUGGUAAUUGUCAAAGCAUUAACAG